AGGAGACUCUGAUGCAGCGAUGCCGCGUGAGUGAAGAAGGCCUUUGGGUUGUAAAGCUCUUUCGUCGGGGAAGAAAAUGACUGUACCCGAAUAAGAAGGUCCGGCUAACUUCGUGCCAGCAGCCGCGGUAAUACGAAGGGACCUAGCGUAGUUCGGAAUUACUGGGCUUAAAGAGUUCGUAGGUGGUUAAAAAAGUUGGUUGUGAAAUCCCGGAGCUUAACUCCGGAACUGCAAUCAAAACUUUUUAGCUAGAGUAUGAUAGAGGAAAGCAGAAUUUCUAGUGUAGAGGUGAAAUUCGUAGAUAUUAGAAAGAAUACCGAUUGCGAAGGCAGCUUUCUGGAUCAUUACUGACACUGAGGAACGAAAGCAUGGGUAGCGAAGAGGAUUAGAUACCCUCGUAGUCCAUGCCGUAAACGAUGUGUGUUAGACGUUGGAAAUUUAUUUUCAGUGUCGCAGGGAAACCGAUAAACACACCGCCUGGGGAGUACGACCGCAAGGUUAAAACUCAAAUGAAUUGACGGGGACCCGCACAAGUAGUGGAGCAUGUGGUUUAAUUCGAAGAUACGCGCAGAACCUUACCAACACUUGACAUGUUCGUCGCGACUCUAAGAGAUUAGAGUUUUCGGUUCGGCCGGACGAAACACAGGUGCUGCAUGGCUGUCGUCAGCUCGUGUCGUGAGAUGUUGGGUUAAGUCCCGCAACGAGCGCAACCCUCACUUUUAGUUGCCAUCAUUAAGUUGGGCACUCUGAAAGAACUGCCAGUGAUAAGCUGGAGGAAGGUGGGGAUGACGUCAAGUCCUCAUGGCCCUUACGUGUUGGGCUACACACGUGCUACAAUGGUAUCUACAACAGGAAGCAAAACUGCGAAGUUAAGCAAAUCCCUAAA
This 886-nucleotide ribosomal RNA is filed under the name uncultured Alphaproteobacteria bacterium. RNAcentral's name for it is "bacterial SSU rRNA". It matches the Rfam family "Bacterial small subunit ribosomal RNA", at positions 375 to 1279 of the family's 1533-position model. Lineage: Bacteria; Pseudomonadati; Pseudomonadota; Alphaproteobacteria. The record is from RNAcentral.